UAUUAACUGCCAAGAAUCAUUGACUCUCAGAUAUGGUCUUUUCCAGCCCAGUCAGUGUUGAAGAAAGAAUGUGGGACCAUCUAUACAAAAAGUGUAUAUCCUACCAGUCUGCUAUGGCCCCUCCUCUUCCGAUAUGGGUGUAUACAGGAUGGUGCAUUAGACUUAAUGAUAUCUUAAACAACCCAGAAUUUGAAGGAGUGAAUAAUUACAGCAGAUCAAGACUGAAUUACCCACACUGACAGCUUCAAGCGAUGGCUCCCUGAAUUUCUUUGUUCCUGCUAAUGGAUUUGAGAAAUACAAUAUCCCAGCAGCUGCAACUGGCUAGAGAAACCUCCCUGAUGUCUCUACAAUGUCAAAAUAAUUUAUCAACUAACCAAACAGGAGGAGGCAGCUGUUGCUUUCAAGGGUAGGAUGAGGCCAUGAGAGUCAGACAAAAGAAAGGCAAAGAGGAAAGGAUUUAAUAGGAGACCACACUCUAGGAAGAGAGUGUUAUUGUGACAGAGGAACAAAUAUUGUCUUAAACCCCUAAUCUAGUUUACAUGGGCUUUUUCUUAUUUUAAUUUAAGUUGUUUUUCACAAAUCCAAUCCAAUCUACCCAUAAACCAAAAGGAAAAGAAAACCUCUGCUUUUGUUGUUUUGAUUUCAUUUCAUUUCCAUCGUGUAAGAACAUUUCAGCCUAAGAUCAGAUUCAGCCCAAGAGCACAACCCAAAGUUUUCUUCAGAAAAUUAUACAAUAUAGAGGUGAGUAGGGAAGCAGAUGUUGUUGGUGUCCAGUGCCAUUGUUCAUGCUGAUUGAGGCUGGUUGAGGCUGGAGGCCAACACCAUAUGGAGCAGCUACAUAUUCCUCUCCCAUACCCCCAUGUAGAGAAAACUAUGCCAUUUUGCCCAAUGGAAUAUUGAAUGUACAGCAGCACCACAACAGAAUAAACUCAAGAUACACUUUUGCCCA
This 949-nucleotide long non-coding RNA is filed under the name Pogona vitticeps (central bearded dragon). RNAcentral's name for it is "lncRNA (ENSPVIG00000018837.1)". The record is from RNAcentral. Lineage: Eukaryota; Metazoa; Chordata; Lepidosauria; Squamata; Agamidae.